Molecule: ribosomal RNA, 493 nt
Filed under: uncultured bacterium
Lineage: Bacteria
Description: bacterial SSU rRNA
Rfam family: Bacterial small subunit ribosomal RNA
Source: RNAcentral
GACGAACGCUGGCGGCGUGCUUAACACAUGCAAGUCGAGCGGUAAGGCCCUUCGGGGUACACGAGCGGCGAACGGGUGAGUAACACGUGGGUGACCUGCCCUCCACUCUGGGAUAAGCCCGGGAAACUGGGUCUAAUACCGGAUAUGACCUCUUGGUGCAUGCCAGGUGGUGGAAAGUUUUUUCGGUGGGGGAUGGGCCCGCGGUCUAUCAGCUUGUUGGUGGGGUGAUGGCCCACCAAGGCGACGACGGAUAGCCGGCCUGAGAGGGUGAUCGGCCACACUGGGACUGAGACACGGCCCAGACUCCUACGGGAGGCAGCAGUGGGGAAUCUUGCGCAAUGGGCGGAAGCCUGACGCAGCAACGCCGCGUGAGGGAUGACGGCCUUCGGGUUGUAAACCUCUUUCGCGAUCGACGAAGGUCCAGUUUCUGCUGGGCUGACGGUAGGUCGAGAAGAAGCACCGGCCAACUACGUGCCAGCAGCCGCCGUAAAAC